GAUUUCUACUUGACCGUCCUGGCCCGCUCUCUUUUUGGGAGUGAGUGCUGAGAUGAGUCAGGUAUCCUUAUCGAGAGCCAGGCCUAUCCUUCACUGGAUUGGGCGUGUGCGAUCGAUAUCAUUUACUUUGAAAAAAUUAGAGUGUUUAAAGCAGGCUUAUGCAUUGAAUACAUUAGCAUGGAAUAAUAAUAUAGGACUUCGGUUCUAUUUUGUUGGUUUCUAGGACUGAAGUAAUGAUUGAUAGGGAUAGUUGGGGGUGCUAGUAUUCCGCGGCCAGAGGUGAAAUUCUUGGAUUCGCGGAAGACUAACUACUGCGAAAGCAUU
This 324-nucleotide ribosomal RNA is filed under the name uncultured Euglyphida. Its description in RNAcentral is "SSU rRNA". The stretch from base 118 to 324 matches the Rfam family "Eukaryotic small subunit ribosomal RNA", at positions 747 to 955 of the family's 1831-position model. Lineage: Eukaryota; Cercozoa; Imbricatea; Euglyphida. The record is from RNAcentral.